Molecule: long non-coding RNA, 419 nt
Filed under: Brassica rapa (field mustard)
Lineage: Eukaryota; Viridiplantae; Streptophyta; Magnoliopsida; Brassicales; Brassicaceae
Description: long non-coding RNA (BRAP_LNC003883)
Source: RNAcentral
ACCAAAUAACCAGACCACACAUAACACCGCAAGCAAUUUGUAUGGAAACGGUGCUCCGGGAGGAGGUUUUGCUGGUGGGUAUGGUUAUGAUGGGUUUUAUGCUCCUGUGCCAUGUUACGACGGCUCUAAGUAUUCAGAUGUGCAGAGAUCUGGUAGUGGAGUUGCUUCCUCCUAUUCUAAGGCAACUACUGUACCAUCAUCGAGGAAUCAAAAUUACCGCUCAAAUUCCCAUUACACGGUAUGUUAUUUUUCUGUAUUUCCUUGUAUUGACGAACGCUAUUUUUAUUGGACUAAAAAUUGGUCCUUAAUCAAUGUUUUCUUUUGCACCAGCCUGCCUCAAUGACAGGCUACGGUACAGGUCAGGGAUACUACAACAGGGUGUAUCAGAACAAGGUAUAUGGUAGCUAUGGAAGCUCAGG